CAGUGGUGACCCAACAACCUGAAGAACCCGUCACCGCCGUGGCAGAAGAAGAAAAGGAAGCACCAGCCGUGGAAACGAGCAAAGAAGUGGUUGUGGAAGAGGCAGAGAAGAAAGAUGAUGAAACAGAGAAGAAAACAGAGGAGGAAGAAGUGAAGACAGAGGUGAUCACGGAAGCCCCCGCAGCUGUGGAGGAGGAGAAGAAAGCAGAGGAAGUAGUAGAGAAGGAGGAGGUGACAGAGGCUACAGCAGUUGUGGAGGAGGAGAAGACUGAGGCGGCGGAGGAGAAACCAACUGAAGUUGCGGCUGCUGAGGAAGUUGUCGUCGAGAAGGCCGAGGAGUGAAGAAGAAGGAAGAAGCUUUAAUUGAUG
This 368-nucleotide long non-coding RNA is filed under the name Capsella rubella. Its description in RNAcentral is "long non-coding RNA (CRUB_LNC004626)". The record is from RNAcentral. Lineage: Eukaryota; Viridiplantae; Streptophyta; Magnoliopsida; Brassicales; Brassicaceae.